Molecule: ribosomal RNA, 799 nt
Filed under: uncultured bacterium
Lineage: Bacteria
Description: bacterial SSU rRNA
Rfam family: Bacterial small subunit ribosomal RNA
Source: RNAcentral
AUACAAGCGAGCGGCGGACGGGUGAGUAACACGUGGGUAACCUGCCCAAGAGACUGGGAUAACACCUGGAAACAGAUGCUAAUACCGGAUAACAACACUAGACGCAUGUCUAGAGUUUGAAAGAUGGUUCUGCUAUCACUCUUGGAUGGACCUGCGGUGCAUUAGCUAGUUGGUAAGGUAACGGCUUACCAAGGCAAUGAUGCAUAGCCGAGUUGAGAGACUGAUCGGCCACAUUGGGACUGAGACACGGCCCAAACUCCUACGGGAGGCAGCAGUAGGGAAUCUUCCACAAUGGACGAAAGUCUGAUGGAGCAACGCCGCGUGAGUGAAGAAGGGUUUCGGCUCGUAAAGCUCUGUUGGUAGUGAAGAAAGAUAGAGGUAGUAACUGGCCUUUAUUUGACGGUAAUUACUUAGAAAGUCACGGCUAACUACGUGCCAGCAGCCGCGGUAAUACGUAGGUGGCAAGCGUUGUCCGGAUUUAUUGGGCGUAAAGCGAGUGCAGGCGGUUCAAUAAGUCUGAUGUGAAAGCCUUCGGCUCAACCGGAGAAUUGCAUCAGAAACUGUUGAACUUGAGUGCAGAAGAGGAGAGUGGAACUCCAUGUGUAGCGGUGGAAUGCGUAGAUAUAUGGAAGAACACCAGUGGCGAAGGCGGCUCUCUGGUCUGCAACUGACGCUGAGGCUCGAAAGCAUGGGUAGCGAACAGGAUUAGAUACCCUGGUAGUCCAUGCCGUAAACGAUGAGUGCUAAGUGUUGGGAGGUUUCCGCCUCUCAGUGCUGCAGCUAACGCAUUAAGCACUCC